RNAcentral lists this ribosomal RNA (253 nucleotides) under uncultured bacterium. RNAcentral describes it as "partial 16S ribosomal RNA". It matches the Rfam family "Bacterial small subunit ribosomal RNA", at positions 524 to 776 of the family's 1533-position model. The record is from RNAcentral.
UACGUAGGGGGCUAGCGUUGUCCGGAAUCAUUGGGCGUAAAGCGCGUGUAGGCGGUCCGGUAAGUCCGCUGUGAAAGUCGAGGGCUCAACCCUCGAAUGCCGGUGGAUACUGUCGGGCUUGAGUACGGGAGAGGCGAGUGGAAUUCCUGGUGUAGCGGUGAAAUGCGCAGAUAUCAGGAGGAACACCGAUUGCGAAGGCAGCUCGCUGGAACGUUACUGACGCUGAGACGCGAAAGCGUGGGGAGCAAACAGG